Molecule: ribosomal RNA, 253 nt
Filed under: uncultured bacterium
Lineage: Bacteria
Description: partial 16S ribosomal RNA
Rfam family: Bacterial small subunit ribosomal RNA
Source: RNAcentral
UACGGAGGGUGCAAACGUUGCUCGGAAUCACCGGGCGUAAAGCGCACGUAGGCGGCCUUGUAAGUUGGAUGUGAAAGCCCUGGGCUCAACCCAGGAAGUGCAUCCAAAACUGCAUGGCUUGAGUACCGGAGGGGUUCAGAGAAUUCCCGGUGUAGAGGUGAAAUUCGUAGAUAUCGGGAGGAAUACCAGUGGCGAAGGCGCUGAACUGGACGGUAACUGACGCUGAGGUGCGAAAGCGUGGGUAGCAAACAGG